Molecule: ribosomal RNA, 301 nt
Filed under: uncultured bacterium
Lineage: Bacteria
Description: partial 16S ribosomal RNA
Rfam family: Bacterial small subunit ribosomal RNA
Source: RNAcentral
CAGUAGCCGCGGGAACACGGAGGAUCCAAGCGUUAUCCGGAAUCAUUGGGUUUAAAGGGUCCGUAGGCGGUCUUGUAAGUCAGUGGUGAAAGCCCAUCGCUCAACGGUGGAACGGCCAUUGAUACUGCAGGACUUGAAUUAUUGGGAAGUAACUAGAAUAUGUAGUGUAGCGGUGAAAUGCUUAGAGAUUACAUGGAAUACCAAUUGCGAAGGCAGGUUACUACCAAUUGAUUGACGCUGAUGGACGAAAGCGUGGGUAGCGAACAGGAUUAGAUACCCCGGUAGUCCAUGUCUCUUAUAC